CAUUCUUAAUAAUACAUUGCAUCUUUAAUGAAAACAAUAUUUUCUGGAAGAACGGUGCAAGUAAAGCCACGUAGGAGUGGAAGGAUUUGGGCAAGGUUCCACAGUGAGGCUCACAUGUGAAAUCUUCACUGCACCAUCCAUGGAGGAACUGCUGCAGCAAAGGCACUGGGGUCAGAGGGCACAUAAUGUUACAGAAAGUCAUUGAUGUGGUUAAUAAGUUUUAUAAGUUAAAAUAUAGCAGAAUAUUUGUAAUACUUAAUAAUGAUGUGGGCAUGACAAUCAAAAUAUUUUAUAUUUCAUUAAGACUCAAAGAUGAUUUUGAGACAGAGGUCUUAAAUGUUGCUAAACUUGAAAAUAUGCAUCAUUGUUUGACCUAAAGACAGCUGUCCCCAAUUUGUUAUCUUUUUUAUGUGACAACAAGCAGAAUGCUUCCUAUCAGAUUAAAAUAAAUUCACGCACAAUCUGUCACUUCAAGAUGAAAUGUGAUGAAACUAAGGAGUAAUAAAAUAAUUGCUCGUUA
RNAcentral lists this long non-coding RNA (520 nucleotides) under Marmota monax (woodchuck). Lineage: Eukaryota; Metazoa; Chordata; Mammalia; Rodentia; Sciuridae. The record is from RNAcentral.